This 82-nucleotide transfer RNA is filed under the name Gemmatimonadaceae bacterium. Its description in RNAcentral is "tRNA-Leu". It matches the Rfam family "tRNA". From Rfam's summary of the family: Transfer RNA (tRNA) molecules are approximately 80 nucleotides in length. Their secondary structure includes four short double-helical elements and three loops (D, anti-codon, and T loops). Lineage: Bacteria; Pseudomonadati; Gemmatimonadota; Gemmatimonadia; Gemmatimonadales; Gemmatimonadaceae. The record is from RNAcentral.
GCGGAAGUGGCGGAAUUGGCAGACGCGCUGGACUUAGGAUCCAGUCCCUUCGGGGGUGCGAGUUCGAGUCUCGCCUUUCGCA